Molecule: non-coding RNA, 46 nt
Organism: Schistosoma mattheei
Lineage: Eukaryota; Metazoa; Platyhelminthes; Trematoda; Strigeidida; Schistosomatidae
Source: Rfam
GCACUGCUGAGGAGUCCCAUAAUAGGACGAAACGACCGUCCACUGC